AGACCUCUGAUCAGAAAAGACUACCCGCUGAAUUUAAGCAUAUCACUAAGCGGAGGAGAAGAAACUAACCAGGAUUUCCCUAGUAACGGCGAGCGAACCGGAAGAGCCCAGCUUGAAAAUCGCGG
RNAcentral lists this ribosomal RNA (125 nucleotides) under Leucobryum albidum. Its description in RNAcentral is "partial 26S rRNA". It matches the Rfam family "Eukaryotic large subunit ribosomal RNA", at positions 1 to 126 of the family's 3401-position model. The record is from RNAcentral. Lineage: Eukaryota; Viridiplantae; Streptophyta; Bryopsida; Dicranales; Leucobryaceae.